AUGGCAACUUCAUCUUCAAGUUCCGUCGAGGAGGAGGAGGUGGUGGAUUUGCAGGAUCAAGAAAUCAAGGUGGGUGGUGACAAGCCGUCGGUCGAGUCGGCAGGCAGCCCUGCAGAUCCAGCACAAAAGAAGAAAAAGAAGAUCCUGCGUGUGGUGCCUGAGAGCGAUGUGAAAUAUGUCAUGAGUUACAAGCCGUUGCCCCAAAGGACGGAGGCCAAUACGGAUGAGGUCGUGGAGGACAUGCAACGGAGGAUGCUCGAGACACAGAAAGACUACAGGCAACAGCUGAAAAACAAGGGCAUAGUCACACCUACGAGGAGGAGGUUGAUGAGGACUACGACGAAGACGAAGACUACGCUCCACUGCAUCCACCGGGUCGGAGGAGGCACCGACCUGGCGUCAUGA
RNAcentral lists this ribosomal RNA (405 nucleotides) under Triticum aestivum (bread wheat). Its description in RNAcentral is "partial small subunit ribosomal RNA". Lineage: Eukaryota; Viridiplantae; Streptophyta; Magnoliopsida; Poales; Poaceae. The record is from RNAcentral.